Astatotilapia calliptera (eastern happy) is the source of this 4989-nucleotide long non-coding RNA. NCBI's taxonomy places the organism in Eukaryota, Metazoa, Chordata, Actinopteri, Cichliformes, Cichlidae. The record is from Ensembl.
UGUAAAUGACUCAACUUGGAUAUUAUUAGCUCAUCUUCACUCACUGUGGCGCUGAUCAGCUUUGACGUCACUCAUAAUCAUCUGGUGCAAGCGCCUGCAGCCACAGCUCCUCCACCGUGGAUGCUGCGAUGCAAAUCAUCUGAAAUGUUUUGAGGCCGUUUGGCUCAUAAUUUAAAUUAUAAAGAGACAUUCAUUUAUCUGUUUUAUUACUCUCUUUUUUUGUUGUUUUUUUUGGGAAAGGCUGCUGGGAUGAGUCCGAGUUAGAAAAGAGACACACAAUAACCAAACAAACAAAAAGCACGGGCUCAGAAACAACAAAACAAGCACUUUACAUCGUUUUUGAGGAUUCUCCAAACACAUUAAGCAGCCAGUCUUACACAAAUCAUCAGCAUGAAUAAAAUCCCAGUGAAUUUGGAGGGUUGAGGGGAUUCAGACAGAGAGGGGAAAAAAAAGAAAAAAAAAGGGGGGGGGGGGGGGGGGGCUCUAAGCCUCUGAAGCCCCAGAAUCUUACUGCAACUAUGGGAUGUGCUUGGAGGUGAUUUGGUAUCGUUGCUCUGGUUAUGGAUGGGGGGAGGGAUCUGGUAAAGCAGUGGUUCUCAAACUUUUUAUGGCAUGCCCAUCUUAAAAAUGCCCACGGCCCCAUGUCACAAGCUACAGCGGACAACUUCAAAUGUUGAGUUUUUCACCCUUUAAAACUGAAAAAUAUUAAUUGUUGGUGUUUUGUAUUAUGUAAUUUGUCGGUAGAAUCACACUGGGGGAAAAAAAAUUAAAGGUGAAAGUCUACAGAAAUGUAAAAAAACAAAAAACAAAACAAAAAAUGUGAAAGUUUGUAUUCUGAAACAACAGAAAACAUGAAAAACUGCAAUUAGAAACAUAAAAAUAAGAAACACCCCCCAAACCCAAAAUUAUGUGUGUCCAGAAACUCAAGUAGAAAUCUGAAUAUCAGAAUAAACUCUAUACUACUAUACUUCUAUUUUCUCUACAAAAAUCAUCCUGAUUUAGUUUCAUUCCAUACGUCCCCUCUGGACAUCCACGCCCCACAGCUUGAGAACCACUGCCAUAGAAAGGGACCCUUGGGUCCAUCUGUGCUAAAGCUCAACAAGCAGCACCACUUUGCCCUGCCCCCCAAAAAAGACCCUGAGUGGACACACAACUGCAUGUUUGUUGAAGCCAGCGCCCAGUUACAUCAGCAGUUUAUGCUCAGAUGUUUUUCAGAUGUUAAUUUUCUGUAAAUGUUGCAGCUAAAGGAAGGUUUCAACAAUUCAGGCUUUUUCCAUAUUCUUAGUUCUGCAGGAGAAACCGCAGAGAGGGAUUAAACCAUCUCCUUUACACUGAUCAUAGAGACAUUUGAUUAAUAUCUCAACUUGAAACGAAAGCAUAUCAGCAUAUUAAAAAGUAAUUAAAAAAGUUUCUAAUUAUUAAGGAAUUUGUGAUUUAUUAUUUUUAUUUGUGCACAUUAACAGGAUACUUUGUCAUUUAAGUUGGUGUGGCCCAAGGCAUGAAGUCACAUGUGGAAAAAAAAUAAAAAAGAAGUAAUGGAAAGACGAGGUGCGAUUCAUCCAAUCAACAAUCAAAACAGAAUCCUGGUUUUAGGUGGGUCCAUCUUUUAAAUAUUUAUGUUUUUCUGUUUUCAGAUCGUUCUGGAUGUUUGAACACCUGAACACAGACUUUAAAAUAAAAAUCUGAGUUAUUCCCACGAUUUUUAUCUUUCAACAACAACAACAACAACAAAAUAAGACCCGUGAACACGUGAGGUUAAAACAGAGUGACUGCUCGUGUUUUUCUCCGACUUCUCGUCUGUUGUAUUUACUUUAUUGUUUUCCCAACAAUAAAUAAAAACACAAACAGCAUAAAAAACAAACAGAAACACAGACACAUGGAAACAACAAACAGACACACAUUAGUUCAUAAAAGGCAAACAUUAAAAUGAAAAGGCAGGUUCAUUUAGAUCAGAUGUAAUGCGCCAUCUGCAAGUUGCCUUUUAAUAGCAGGAAUACAAAAGCAAACCUUUUAAACCAUUAAAAAAAAAAAUACUAAGAUCUCAGGAUACAAAAGGUGUUUGCACUCUUAAAUCAAUGACUGGUAUUUUUUACCCAGACAUUUUGAGUCUAAUGGUGUGUUCAGAGUAAGUGCAAAGCGAGGUUUUGCCUCAUGAAUGAAGUCACUUUAGCACUUUUUAUUAUUUUUUUUAUGUGGACAAUGUGGCCACUAGCAGCAAGCAAGACAACUACUUUUAUCCAGACUGCAGCAGAUACAGAUCCCUCCCUUUUUUCUGUAUAUAUAAAAGAGAAUCUCCAGAUGCUCACAAACGAUUAGAUUUUCCUCCUUUUCUGAUCACUUGUGGCAUCAGGAGAGCACAUGGGAGGGGUCGAACAAAUAGGGUUAAAAUUUGCUUUAAUGGACAGUGUUUAAGAUUACAGUCCUCAUCUUUGAGGGUUAAAGUACCGCAGAACUGACGCUGGCUCACUUGUUUACACUUUCGCCAUCAUAAAGAUCUGCUAAGUUUUAAGGGGCCUUCAAACAGGAAGGGCUGCUUGCAAGGGUGCGGUCCAGGCUCCGGUUGCAUGUACCACCUCCUCAUGUCAACCAACAGUAUCCUUUACUCUUAUUAGUACUUGCUUCAAUUUGCCUUGACUGCAAAGCCUAGAAAAGCUUUGAUCUGGUAUCUCUAAGUUUAAGUGGCUUUUUAUGAUUUCUGGUCGCAGUGACGUUGCUGCUAGUCGCUUCCUGGGUGGACGCCCCUCGAGAACCAGCGGGCAAAUCCUGUUGUACAGCAAGGGUGGCGACGCUUACACAUCUAGUUGAUUAAUCGCUAGCAUACCCGUUACAAACAUACAAGAACGUAUUUUCGCCUCUCUGAGCGCUACAGGGUGCAAACUUUGCUUUGCGUUUACCCCAAACACACCACAACAUUCCUGCUUCUCUGUAGUGAGAUAAAACCGUUUUCAGAUCUUAGGAGUCGACUUUUUUGAACUGAAUGCUAGCGGACAGAAAUGAUGUGCAAAAAAACAAAAAAUAAUGUAAAAGAUGUAAAAAACAAAAACAAAACACACAACCUUUAACCCUCAAGCAACCAAGCUCUUAACUACAUGGGAACACAUUUUGUACGGCUCUGUCCAAGUUUGUGGGGUUUUCUUGACCUGUGAUGAAAUUUUCUAAUAAUUAAUAAUAAUUAUGGUUUUAAAUCACUUUUAUCCACUUACAAAAAUGCAAGUCACUAGUAGUAGCCACAACAAAAAGAGAGGAAGAAAAAAAAAAGUGGAGAUUAAAAGUGAAAAAUUCUAACAAAUAACAUUGCAAAACAGAACUCUACAUCAUCUUUGCAGCACCAGUUCCAAUAAAGAACAAUGAAAAGUUGCAGAAGUAGAUGGACGAACUUGUUUUCCCACACAUGUAUAAAUACACAGCACUCGGUCACUUGAAGGUUAAAGAACUCAGAGCCUUGGAAUCCAUUCACACUUCUAGUGCAAAGUGUAUAUAACGACUCUUCCCAUACUGUGACACGCUGCAUGUAACUGGGCGCCGGGCUGUAAAAAGGCAUUUUCAUGUACUUCGUCAGGCUUUAGUAAGCACGUACUUAUGAGUUAUUCAUCAGCGAAAUGUAUGUUGAAGAGCAGAGUCAUUACAACUACAAUGCAAAGCUUUUCCCUCCUUUAAAAAUGAUGCAAAAUGGCGUGAUGAGAAAAUGAAGAAGGAAACCUCCUCUCAUUUUACUGAGGGCUCGCAUUCUCAUAGAGAUCAAGUCUGCCUCACUCUGCAGCUCAGUUUGACGGAGAGAGAGGAAAAAAACAAACAAAACAACAACAACAACAACAAAAAUGAAAACAGCGGGCUGCUUUGAAAAGGAGAAGCAGCUCCUCAUUUAGCACGGUAAACAAGAAGCUUUGAAGUCAGCCAUUUAAAAUAGGAUUUACAUGAAUAAAUAAAUCGCUCACUGAUGUGAGGCAGAAGGCUUUGGGUAAUCGUCUGUGAUUCUAACACACAUGACACUGCAAAUAACACUGCGAGGUUCAAGUCUGGGAAUUAUUAAUAAAUACCACCUGCUCCGGUCUGCGCUGCGCCUUUGUUCAAACUUUGCUCGGCGGUCGCGAAGAAUGAAAGUCGCUUUAUUCGAUGAGGCGACGGAUGACGAGAGUUUAUAUUAAACGCCAUUUUAUUGAUGUCAUCGUUCACGUCGGUGACGGAGCGUCUCCGUCUGUACAAAUUAACGACGACAUACUCGUCCGUCUCGCCCGGCUUGUAGAUGUGCGUCGCAACUCUGUGCUUCACCUCGAUCUCUUUGAAAUAUAUUAAAAUAACAGUUAAAACUCUCACUAGGGACGGGGUUGGAUAGCAUUUCAAGUGUCAGAUCUCCAGUAACGAAAAGCUGCUGUUUUUAGUGGCAGCUUGAUUAAAUAAACAUGAGCCGAGCAGCAUAAAGUAUGAAAUAUUAAUUAAAUGUAUGUGACACAUUUAAUUAAAAGCUGCAGGCUACUGUACUUCACCAGCGACUCUAAAACGCUCGGGGUGAUUUAACGAGGCAAAAAACAGCACCGACUCCACGCUGGAGCGUUGCAGAGGUGAGAGAACGGCCUGUCGUAUAAAUAUGUUUGUUUAUAAGCGAAAUUCACGAGUGGCCCGGAUCACUGGGGAUAAAAACACUCAUCUGAGCUGAACUUGAACAAGUCCGGCAGGUAAAUACGAGACUAUAACAACAUGAUGCUAACACAGCUUUCAUGAAACUGUACUGGACUGUAUGCCUGUGUAGUUUUACUGGUGUUGUUUGCAAGCUUCAGCCCGAAUCAGAGUUUAAAAUAUCGAAUAUCACACUUUAACUGGUGCCCGUGUUCUUCCUGCAGGUCUCUAUCCACGAUCGCCCUCUGCUCUGCUGCUGGCUCUAUUUUUCAGACAUUUCUUUUACAGAAAGUUGAAAAGACGACAUAAUUUGCAGGCCAAGCAGGAAGUUCAUGUCGCCGUAUGUGCCUCAACAACCAAAAACGCCAGAAAAAU